RNAcentral lists this unclassified non-coding RNA (8385 nucleotides) under Suid alphaherpesvirus 1. RNAcentral describes it as "large latency transcript". The record is from RNAcentral. Lineage: Duplodnaviria; Heunggongvirae; Peploviricota; Herviviricetes; Herpesvirales; Orthoherpesviridae.
UCACAGCAGCCGCGGACGCUGCGCGCCGGAGCGGUCCAUCUCGCCAGCCAGCCAACCAGCCGAGCCGCCCAGCCGACCCGAGAGCCCCGAGAGCCAGACUCCCUCAGCCAUAGAAGACACCGGGCGGGAGAGACGGACUGAAAAAAUAUAUCUUUUUUUAUUUUGUCUGGGCCUGGAGACCCGCAGCAGGAGCGGAGGUGAGUGCGGGGCCGGGAGCCGGAGCAGGACCGGGAACAGGAACAGGAACAGGAACAGGAACAGGAGUGGGGCCGGGAGCAGGAGCAGGAGCGGGAGCCGAAGUGGGGGCAGGAGCGGCGGCGGCCGCAGCAGCAACAGGGUCGCCCCAGUCCGCGGCGAGGAAGAGGGAGCUCAGUCGUCGUCCUGGGUGAGGUCGAUGAAGAUGGUAGCGGAGCGGGGGGAUCCCGACGAGCUAGACGCCGGAGGCCCGCCCCGGGGGGCGGCGGUCUCGGGGGCAGAGGCAGAGGGCGACGGGCGCCGCAUCGAGGAGGAGGGUGAAGACGAGGGGGAGGAGCGAGCCGAAGCGGCGGUGUUCGCCGACCCCGGGCCGGCCCCGGCCCCCGAGGCACCAUGCUGCGCAGAGGACCCCUCGCCGGACGAUGGCGCCUCCGGAGUCUCGCCCUGGGCCUGUCCGCCCGUCCGGCCGCGUCGCAGGCACCGGGUCCGUCUCUGCUCGCGCCUCAGCACGGCCGCCCGUCGGGCCCUGCGCGGGGAGCGCCUGGGCGCCGGCCUCUGGUCGUCCGCGGACUCGGAGGCCUCCGUCAGAUCCUCCGUGUGCACCCCGCUGCUCGAGGCGCCCGAGUCUUCCUCGUCGGGGGAAGACACCUCAGAGUCAGAGUGUGCCUCGGACUCGGACGUGUCGAUAUAGUUCACACCCUGGUGGCUCAUCGGGGCUCGCCUCUGCAUCCGCCGCAUCCACUGCGCCGAUAUGUCAAACAGCGUAUCGACGAGGGCGUGGGUGUUUGCCCCAAACAUGGGGAGCAUGGCCUCGGUCACGCGCUGGCGGUUCAUCCCGUGCUCCUGGAUAAUCUCGACGAUGUUGUCCACUACGGCCUCGCGGAUGGGGUCGCUCUCGAUGACCGUCGAGACCUGCCCAUAAAGCCAGUUGAAGACGGGGACUCUGGGGCGGGCGCGAGACCCAGACCCGGAGCCCUGCCCUUCGGCCUCCUCGUGGCGCACCUCCUCGGUAUAGUCUUCACCCCAGAUGACCGCGAAGCCCCCCCCUACCGGCUCAUCCUCUUCCCCGUCGACAUCCGUCGCCCCCUCCACGGGCGUCUCCACAAACGAAGCGUCGCUGUCCACGUGGUGGAGGAUGGAGGUGACGCGGGCAUUGCACAGCGGGCAGGCGGUGCUCGUCAGGGUCCAGCGCUGGAUGCAGUCCAGACAGAACUUGUGCAUGCACGGCAGCGUCUGCGCCUCGGUGGCCGCGACGUCCAGGCAGAUGGGGCAGUCCAUGACGGACCACCAUCGUCCAACUCCCGCCCGGGACCACCGGGACCCUCGGGACCAUCUACCUCCCACCAGGACCCGCCGGGACCACCAACACCGUCCACCUCCCACCACCACCACCACCACCAUCAAGGACCCCCAACAUCCCCAAGACCCUCUACUUCUUCCCACCAAGACCCUCCAGGAGGAGGACCCCCAUCUGCUAAGACCCACCAGGGACCCCCCAUCUGCUAAGACCCACCACCACCAAGACCCUCCAGGAGGAGGACCCCCAUCCACUUCUUCCCAUCACCACCACCAAGACCCUCCAGGAGGAGGACCCCCGUCACCCCCACCAAGACCCUCCACCUCUUCUUCUUCCUCCCACCAGGGACCCCCAUCCACAAGACCACCUCCACCCCAGAGACCACCGCCAAGAUGGCCGCCUCCAUCUCCCCAAAAAAUCUCAGAGACUCGAGCUGGUUCAGAAAAUACAGCACAAACUUUAUUUUCUCACUCUGAAAACAAACUCUUUUCUCACCCGAUGGGAGAAGGAGGAGAAGGGGACCGGGGGACCGCGGGAGGAGGAGAAGGGGACCGGGACGAUCCUCCGCCGCCGAGCCCUCCGCCGCGGCCGCCGCCGCCGCUUCCACCACCGCCGCCACCUCCGCCGCCGCCGCAGCCACCUCCGGCCGGGGGAUCCGCGCGGAGGAGAAGGAGAGGAGGAGGGCCACCGGGCCGGGGAGGCAGGCGCCGGGGAGGCAAGCGCCGCCGGGCCGAGGGGACCGAGGCCGCCGCCGCGGACGCAGAGGAGGAGGAGGACGGGGACGGGGACGAGGACGAGGACGAGGACCGGGCCGAGGGCGAGGGGAGAGAAGACGGAGGAGAAGGGCCUCGAGGAGCCGGUGGAGGGGCCGGAGAGUCAGAGUCAGAGUCCGGCCGGGCCGAGGGGGCGCCCCGCUCAGCGGAGCAGCAGGUAGGGGUUGCCGGCGUCCUCGGCCUCCUCGUCGUCCGAGAUGGCCUCCACCUUGAUGGGCCCGAGCGGGCCGCGGGGCCGGCCGUCGCCGCCGCGGACGCCGACGAUCUCCACAGAGUCCCCGUCCUCGCCGGGGCCGGCCCCGGCGCCCGAGGCCCCCGCGGGCCGGUGGGUCUCCACGGCGCCCCCGGCGGCGGCGCGGACGCUGGUCUCGAAGGGGGCAAAGUCCCAGAGCACGGCCGGCGGGGCGCCCGCGGCGGCGACGGCGCCCGGGGUCAGCACCAGCGGGGCGGCCUCGGCGUCGGGCUCCAGCAGCGCCGCGGCGCAGAAGGCGCGCAACUCGGCCGGCAGGCCCUCGGGGCCGCGGAGCUCGGCGAGGCCCCGGCGGCCGCAGGAGACGAAGACGGGCCGCAGCGGGGCGCCGAGCCCCCAGCGGUUGGCCGCGCGGUGCCCGAAGGCGGCGCCCGCGUCAAAGUCCGGGUCCCCGAGCCCGAGCGCGGAGCGCUGGCGGGCCAUGUCCUUGCAGCCGUCCACGGUGGGGAGCACGCGCUGGCGGUAGGCGCGCGGCGGCAGCGGGACCGGGGUCCGGGGCCCGGCGCGGGUGCUCACCGUGUAGCGCACGUUGUCCUGGCGGCAGAGGCGCAGCGGCUCGGCCCCGGGGUGCAGGCGGGCGAAGGAGGCCUCCACGCGGGCGAAGCAGGCCGGGCCCACGAUGGAGCUAGAGUCCAGCACGGCCGCGCGGAGCUCGCGGCACCCGGGCCAGCGCACGGCGCACUGGGCGGCCGGGUCCAGGCGGACGCGGACGUAGACGUGGUAGUCCCCCACGGCCGGGCCGUCCGCGGGCCAGUCCUCGAUGGUGUCCAGCACGAUGAGCCGGCGCCGCGCCGCGCCGAGCCGCGAGCAGAGGUACUCCACGGCGCCGGCGAAGCCGAGGUCCCGCGCCGAGAGCAGCAGCACCCCCUGGGCGUUGAGGCGGCCGAUGUCGGGGCGCCCGGUCCAGUUCCCGGCCCAGGCGUGCGAGUCCGGCGUGCAGAGGCGGUGGGCGAAGGCGGCGAGCAGCGCCGAGAGGCCGCCGCGGCGCGGGUCCCAGGCCGGGCGCGGGGCGCCCUCGGCGGGCUCGGCGCAGAGCUCCUCGUGGGGCAGCGGGUCGUAGAGCACCACCACGCGCACGUCCUCGGGGUCGGCUAUCUGCCGCAUCCAGGCGGCGCGGCGGCGGAGCGGGGCGCCGCGGCGCGCGGCGAUGUGCGCCAGGGCGGCCGGGUCGAAGGUGAGCGCCGGGCGCCAGAGUUCGGGGAAGACCUCCUGGUCCACGAGGGCGCGGGCCACCUCGGGCGGGCAGUAGGCGGCGAGGGCCGCCUCGGAGGGCCGCGGCGUGUGGGUCUCGCCGGCCGGGACGCGGCGGAAGCCGCCGUCGGGCGCGGGGUGCUCGGGCAUGGGCCCGAGCGGGCGCCGGAGCCGGUCGUCCUCGGAGGAGGAGGAGGAGGAGGACAGCAGCGCGGGAGCGGGGUCCGGAGCGGGCCCGAGUCCGAGGGAGCGGCGCUUGCGCCGGGGCCCCCGGUCCUCUUCGUCGUCGCGGUGGCCGUGGCCGUCCCCGCGGAGGGCCGCGCCGGAGAGCCCCUCGUCCUCCUCGCCGUCCCCGGGGCGGCGGGCCCCGGGCGCGCGGCGCUUCUUCUUGCGCCGCUCGGGCGCUGGGUCCGGGCCGGCGGCGGGGGAGCUGGCGUAGCCGGAGGAGCCGGAGAGGCCGGACUUGGUGCUGGAGCUGGACUUGGUGCUGGAGCUGGACUUGGUGCUGGCGGGGCUGGAGGGCCCGGAGCCGGGGAGGCCGGAGGGGGCGCCCGCCGCCGCCGGCGCCGGCGCUGGGACGACGAGGCCGGGCUGCUCGGGCCAGAGCGGGGGCAGGCCGGGCGCGGGCUCCGCGGGCCCGGGCCGCGCGGCGGCCUCGGCGAGCCGGGCCGCGGCCACGUUGGCCGGGGCGAAGAGGGCCGCGGCGUAGGUCCAGGCGGCCUCGCGGGCGCGGGCCCCGUCCACGCUGUAGCGCACCAGCGGCGCCACGGUGCGGGCGACGAGGGCGACAGAGUCCGCGGCCUGCCGCCGCUCGGCCGGGCCGGCCCCGGGGAUCGCGUCGCGGAGCGCGAGCAGCGCGGCCGUCACCUCCUCGAGGCAGGCGGGCCCGAGGGCGGCCGGGGCGCGGGCGGGCGCGGGCAGCCGGAGCGGGCAGGGCAGCAGGCGCUCGAGGACGCCGCGGCAGGCCAGGACGCAGGCGUCCGCCAGCUCGCGGGGCACGCGGCCGGGCUGCGCGGCGGCGAAGGCGGCGCGGACGCGGGCGCAGAGGGCCUCGACGGUCGCCUCCCCGGCGCGGGGGUCCGCGGCGCGGCCCGGGUAGGCCAUGUCGGCGUAGGCCCGGCGGAGGCUCUGCAGGAUGAAGGUCUUCUGGGUGCGAUCGUAGCGGCGGCUCAUGGCCACGGCGCUCACCGCGUGCGGCAGGGCCCAGAGCGGGUCCUGGGCGGCCAUGGCGUCCCCGAUGUGCGGCAGCGGCGGGGUCACGCUGCCGGUGAUGAAGGAGCCGUGGCCGUGGGGCGCGUGGACCCGGCGCUGGCAGAACUGGUUGAAGCGCUGGUCGGGGGCCUGCAUCCGCGGGUUCUGCAGCCAGGACAUGGCCUCGCCGGCGGCCCCGCUGUAGAUGAGGCGCACGAGGGCCUCGUGCUGCUUCCUCGAGUCCCCCAUCUCCGGGAUGAAGACGGGCACGGGCCCGGCCGCGGCGCGGUAGCGGGCCGCGGCCUGGCGGACGUCGUCCUCGUCCCAGAGCCCCUCGCGGGAGUCCCCGGCGCCGCCGUAGCGGACGCGGCCGUCGGCCGGAGGGUCGGAGCCGGGCCAGGGCUCCCCGAGCGGGGUGAGCAGCGGCCCGUCGGUCGGCGGGGGCCCGUCGGCCAUGAGCGAGAGGUGGUUGUUGGUGGAGCGGCGCUUCCUGCGCGGGGGCCGGGCGGGCUCCGGGGCCGGGGCCGGGGAGGCCGCGGCGGAGGAGGAGGCGGAGGAGGCCGAGGGCCGCGGGGCCGCGGCGGGCGCCGGCGGAGACGGUGGCGGCCCGGCGCGGGCGAGUGGGGCGCCGGGCCGGACUCCUUCGUCUUCUUCUCCCUCGGAGGAGGACGAGGACGAGGAGGACGAGGAGGACGAGGAGGACGAGGACGAGGAGGAGGCCGAGCGCCGCGCGGCGGCGGCGGGGGCCCGGGGGGCGGAGGGCGAGCGGGCCGGGGAGAGGUCCGAGUCGCUGCCGCUGCUGCUGGAGCUGCUGAAGCCGCGGCCGCGGCGGAGGGCGCCCUCUCCGGCGCGGCGCCGGCGGGGCUGUCUCUGCGGGGGCGCCCCGCCGUCCCCGGCGAGGCCGAGUCCGUCCUCGUCCUUCUCGGGGCCGCGGGCGACGGUCUCGACGGCGACGGUGGUGGUGGAGUUGGAGUUGGAGUUGGGGUUGGAGGAGACGGGGCUCCGGGCGCCAAGCGGCCGAGGAUCGAGCCGCCUCGCGGCGGCGGGCUCGUCGAGCAGGGGCUCGCGGUGCUGGUGAUGGUGACGACCGCGGUCCCCUCCGGCGGAGGGGGCGCCGCCGCCGCCGGGCGCCGAGACCGGCCCGGCGGCGGGGGAGGCUGGGGAAGCGGGCCCCCGCCGUGCCGGCGCUGCGGCCACCGCUGCUGGCUGUGCUGGUGGCGCCGGGGUCCGAGGCCGCGCCGCCGGCCCGGGCUCACCGACCGGGUCCCCCCUCGCGGGGGACCAUCUCCGCGGGGCUGCCGAGGGGCCGGGAGAGCCGGAGGAGGAGGCCGGGGAGGCUGCGGAGGGGGACGAGCGCCCGGGGCCGCCGGGGGCCCCGGCCUCUGCCGCUGCGAGUGCUGCCGGGGUCGGCGGCCGGGGCCCGGAGCCGGCCCGGGACCGGGGCCCGAGGACGAGGUGACCGUGCUCGGAGCCCUGAUGGAGAGCCCGACCGGGGGACCCGGCGGCCGGGGACCCGGGCUCGUCCUCCUCCUCGUCUUCGUCGUCUAGCACCACGAUCUCGCCCGAGCCCCGGCGGGGCUGCUGCUGCUGCUGGGCCGAAGGAGGACGGGGCGGCCUCGUGGCUCCGGCCGCGGCCGCGAGGACGGCGGCCUCGGCCUCGGCGGCGUCGUCGGAGAAGAGGCCGCCCGGGCCGAAGAGGAGAUCCUCGCCGGAGGAGCCGCGGCGCCGGGAGCCCUGGCUGCCGCCGUCGGGGCCGGACGCGAUGCCCUCUUCCUCGGCCGCGGCGGCGGCCGCCAGGAGCUGGCUGAAGUUGCCCUCGGUCUCGAUGAAGUCAAAGAGAUCGUCGGCCAUGGUCUCGAUCGGGGUCUUUCUGCCUGAGCGAGGCCGGGCGCCGAGCGCGGAGAGCGGGCGGCGGAGAAGAAGGAGGAAGGCGGCCGGAGGAGGAGAAGAAGAAGACUCUUCUCUGGCGGGCCGAGAGCCUCGGUGGGUCGGGCGUCCGUCGAGGGCUGAUAGCCGCCGGAGAGCCGGAGUCUUCAGAGUCCGCGCCGGAGCGGAGACGGUCGGAUCCCCUCGGGUUGGCAGAGAACGAUGCUGUCCGUACCUGCACCGCAGUGAAGUGCUACGAUGGAGACCGCGCUUAUAAGCGCCCCGAGGAGAGCCCGCCCCCAGGUAAGCGGACCAAUGGCCGAUUUUCGCCGCGGACUUCCCCGACGGCCGGCCAAUGGGAUUUUUCUCGCCCGCUUCCUCUGCCGUCUGCUUUGCAUGCCCGGCCCAAGAUGGCGGCCGCCGGCCAAUGGGAUUUCGCGAGGAACUUCCUCGCGAGGACCAUUUGCAUGCCCGGCCCCCGCGGCGGCCAUCUUGCCCCAUCGACGGCCAAUGGGAUUUCUCUCGCCCACUUCCUCUCGCGUCUACUUUGCAUGUCCGGCCCCGAGGGCGCCAUCUUGGCCCCUCGACGGCCAAUGGGAUUUCUCUCCCUACUUCCUCUCGCGUCUACUUUGCAUGUCCGGCCCCCGCGGCGGCCAUCUCGGCUCGCCCGGGCCAAUGGGCGCGCGGAGGCGUCUCCCGCGCGCCUCUGAUUUGCAUGCCCGGCCCGCUCUGCGGCCAUCUUGGCCGCGGCGCGCCAAUGAGAUUGUCCGAAAAUCCCUCGCGCGGGCGCGAGGCGCAUGCUCGGCACGCGACCCACCCCCGUGGUGCUAGCGAGCCAAUCAGAUGAUUUUCGGGGAAGCUUCCGUGUGCACGUCAUUUGCAUGCUCGCCCCACGUGGCCGCCCUCGGCCAAUGGGGCCUCACGGUGCAAGCUUCCGUGUGUCUGCACGUGGUCCGCAUGUGUUGUGGUGGUCUCUGUGUUGUGUGGUGGUCUCUGUGUUGUGUGGUGGUCUCUGUGUUGUGUGGUGGUCUCUGUGUUGUGUGGUGGUCUCUGUGUUGUGUGGUGGUCUCUGUGUUGUGUGGUGGUCUCUGUGUUGUGUGGUGGUCUCUGUGUUGUGUGGUGGUCUCUGUGUUGUGUGGUGGUCUCUGUGUUGUGUGGUGGUAUCACCGCCUCCCCCUGCCACUCGCGAGACCCCGAGACCCCCGUUUCCCCCUCCUCGAGACCCCUGAGACCCCCGAGACCCUCCCGCGACCCCCGCGGUCGCCCCACCCGCGCCUCGCGCUCGGCGCGCGCUCCGAGGGCGCCCCAGCCGGUCGGAGAGACGAGCGGAACCGCCGUCGGACCGGGGACCGGCGACCGGACCCGAACCGGGAAGCGACGCCGGGGCGGGAGAACCGGACCCGAACCUCGAGCCCGGACCCGCCCGGACCCGGAAGGAAGGAGCCGGACAGCCACGCCUUGGAUACUUUUGUCGCCCACCCACCCCCUCCUCUCCCCCACCCCUCUAUCUCUCUCUCCCGGUCCCCCCUCCCACCCCACGAGACACGCCCCAGAGUGAAAAAAAAAAUAAAAGUUGUUCUCGUUGCACCGUCUUCCGGCUCGUGUCGUCCUUCCGCGGUACC